ACAUGCAAGUCGAGGGGCAGCAUUUUAGUUUGCUUGCAAACUGAAGAUGGCGACCGGCGCACGGGUGAGUAACACGUAUCCAACCUGCCGAUAACUCCGGAAUAGCCUUUCGAAAGAAAGAUUAAUACCGGAUAGCAUACGAAUAUCGCAUGAUAUUUUUAUUAAAGAAUUUCGGUUAUCGAUGGGGAUGCGUUCCAUUAGUUUGUUGGCGGGGUAACGGCCCACCAAGACUACGAUGGAUAGGGGUUCUGAGAGGAAGGUCCCCCACAUUGGAACUGAGACACGGUCCAAACUCCUACGGGAGGCAGCAGUGAGGAAUAUUGGUCAAUGGGCGAGAGCCUGAACCAGCCAAGUAGCGUGAAGGAUGAAGGCUCUAUGGGUCGUAAACUUCUUUUAUAUGGGAAUAAAGUUUUCCACGUGUGGAAUUUUGUAUGUACCAUAUGAAUAAGGAUCGGCUAACUCCGUGCCAGCAGCCGCGGUAAUACGGAGGAUCCGAGCGUUAUCCGGAUUUAUUGGGUUUAAAGGGAGCGUAGGUGGAUUGUUAAGUCAGUUGUGAAAGUUUGCGGCUCAACCGUAAAAUUGCAGUUGAAACUGGCAGUCUUGAGUACAGUAGAGGUGGGCGGAAUUCGUGGGUGUAGCGGUGAAAUGCUUAGAUAUCACGAAGAACUCCGAUUGCGAAGGCAGCU
Molecule: ribosomal RNA, 686 nt
Filed under: uncultured bacterium
Lineage: Bacteria
Description: bacterial SSU rRNA
Rfam family: Bacterial small subunit ribosomal RNA
Source: RNAcentral